CCCAAGCAGAAUAUUUAUUUCUAUAUACAGUUCAGAAAAUGUAAGCUAAUGCUGCAAUCUACUGUCUAUUUUAUCUUUAAUAUACACAGAGAAAAGCGUCCUGUUGACAUGUAGAAAACCAAAAGGACUUCAUUUAAGUUCCAGUCUCACAUUUUUGAUUUGAGGGCCAUUGAGCAAGUUAAUGCACCUCUAUGAUUAAGUUUACUGCUUUUGUAAAAUAGUAAUGAUUAUAUCACCUAUCUCUACAUAACAGAGCUGGUGCUUCAAGGAUCAAAUGAGAUUAUGUACGUGAAAUCACCUUGAAAAGGACCAUGAAUGUAAGACACAAUUGCAGCUGCUGUGAAGCAAAUUUUGGAACAAUGGAUUGAUUCGUUGUAUAAAAGAAUGGAGGCAUUGUAUGGGCCACUCCUUGAGGGAAACAAGCAUGAGGCAGGUCAGGAAAAGAAGGAAAGAGGCAGAACUUCCAAAGAACAGAUUUGUCAAGAAGAGGUAGGCACCUCAAAUAAAACUGCUCAGCAAUGGAAUGCUACCGUGUAAUAAAAAAGAAUGAACCACUGAUACACUCAACGACAUGAAUAACUCUCAAACUAUGCUGAAUGAAAAAAGCUGGACACAAAUGAAUACAUUCUGUAUGAUUCCAUUGGCAGAAAACUAGAAAAUGAAAACUAACCUGUAGUGACAAAAAACAGGUCAGUGGUUUUCCUUAUUAAGAAGGUCCAUGAGGAAACUUUGGGAGGAAGAUGAAUAUGUUCAUUAUCUUGGUUGUAGUGAUAGUUUCAUGGGUGUGUACGUAUGUCUUGUAAGAUUGUGCACUUUAAAUAUGGGAAGUUUAUUGUAGGUCAGUUGUAUUGCUCUAUGCAUGUUAUAUUCCUCUAUAUACAUAUUAUUUCCAGAAAAACAUAAUUUCCAGAAAAAACUGCUGAGCAACAUAGCACAUAAACAGGCAAUGGGCAGAGCUCUCAAGUAACUCUUCAAUUAGUGACUAUCUGACUCUUAGAGACAUUUUUGGGGACUAA
RNAcentral lists this long non-coding RNA (1016 nucleotides) under Papio anubis (olive baboon). Its description in RNAcentral is "lncRNA (ENSPANG00000050323.1)". Lineage: Eukaryota; Metazoa; Chordata; Mammalia; Primates; Cercopithecidae. The record is from RNAcentral.